GAAUUCACUAGUGAUUCAGGCCUAACACAUGCAAGUCGAGCGGUAGAGAGAAGCUUGCUUCUCUUGAGAGAGGCGGACGGGUGAGUAAUGCCUAGGAAUCUGCCUGGUAGUGGGGGAUAACGUCCGGAAACGGACGCUAAUACCGCAUACGUCCUACGGGAGAAAGCAGGGGACCUUCGGGCCUUGCGCUAUCAGAUGAGCCUAGGUCGGAUUAGCUAGUUGGUGGGGUAAUGGCUCACCAAGGCGACGAUCCGUAACUGGUCUGAGAGGAUGAUCAGUCACACUGGAACUGAGACACGGUCCAGACUCCUACGGGAGGCAGCAGUGGGGAAUAUUGGACAAUGGGCGA
This 349-nucleotide ribosomal RNA is filed under the name uncultured bacterium. Its description in RNAcentral is "bacterial SSU rRNA". It matches the Rfam family "Bacterial small subunit ribosomal RNA", at positions 43 to 378 of the family's 1533-position model. The record is from RNAcentral.